This 2180-nucleotide long non-coding RNA is filed under the name Sus scrofa (pig). RNAcentral's name for it is "lncRNA (ENSSSCG00050013266.1, ENSSSCG00055029036.1, ENSSSCG00065041354.1)". The record is from RNAcentral. Lineage: Eukaryota; Metazoa; Chordata; Mammalia; Artiodactyla; Suidae.
UUUAUUUAUUUACUUAUUUAUUUCAGCUGGGACUUCAAUGUACCUUUCGACCAGGCAAAAUAGUGAUCAUCUGAUUUUUGGGGAAGCUUCUCAAAAUAAUUUUAUGGACGUCUACAUAGGACAGUUAAGGACUGAAUGUCUUUCCUAUAGAGAUUAUGAUGAUAUUAAAAUCAAAAAGUGCCAAACCCCAUCAUUUUGAAUAUACACCUAGGGUCACACCGUUCAUGAGGCAAACAAGACUAAAAAUUGGUAAUUGAUUACAACAGGUAAGCUCCUCUGACAGAAGGCGUUUGGAGUCUUCAAAAGGUGCAGCUGAAAGAUCAAAUGUGAAAUUAAAGUUUAAUGAAGGUGAUGGUUGUUCCUCUACCCAUUUCCCCACCCCCCCCCGGGGGAUCAGAAGAUCAUUUAAUAAGGCUGUUUUUAUACACAAAUGCAACUUGUUUAUUUUGACCUCAGUUCUUCGAAAUUGUCGACGCCACACUGAAAUAUGCUGUGUGUUCCAACAAGGACCCAGCAGUCGUAAUGACAGACCAGCCCAUCUGUGCUGCGAGAAUGUAUAAUUUCAGUCUAUAGUGGAAUUUAUAUAGAAGCGAGAUCAUGUGAAAACUGAGAUGCGUGGUACUUUCUUCGAAAAAAAUAUCGCUACAUGAUAUUUGGUCUCAUCUAACUAUCCCAACUGCAUAAGAUGUAUGCUGGAAAAUGUAUUAUCCAGAUACAGUAAGACGAUUAGAGGAACAGAACCUCAGAGGAAGAUACUAAUUUAGAGGGAAAAUGCUCAUUUAUGGAGAUUAAUUGAUUUUAUGCUACCUGCCCCUACCCUGUCCAAAAAGACGGCGAGUUAACUCUCAGGAAAUGGGACUAUCGCUCCAGGAUUUAGAAUUAAAGGCCGAUUCACCAACGUUAAUUAUAACAAAAAAUAAAAUUAAAAAAAAAAGGAGGAGUGGGCAGCUCUGAGAAGUCUAAAUUCUUUCCAAAUGAUUACCCCCCUCCCCGCCCCCUCUACCAGCUUCUCUAGUCUCUCGACUCCUCUGCCUUUAGAAUUUAUGACACUCUGUUUCUUGCUAUUACUUUUAUUUUGCCACCAGUGUUUUAUUUGGUGCUUGCUAAAUAUUUGGGUGGAGUGAUCUUCCAGCUUGCAGCAGCAGAAUGUGGCUGUCAUAGUCAUGAAAAUGUUUUAAUUAUCUCUGCUACAGAGAUGCCUGUCUCUGCAGCCCCAAGUCCUCCAGUACCGACUGCUGUCUAAUCUAAGAACAAAAGCGGCCGCAGAUAUUCCUCGUGCGCUGAGCUCACUUUCAACAUUUGCUGGUGUCUGCUCCGGCCAGCCGGCGGCUCAGGCCGGCACACACAGGACCCGAACGCCUCUGAUGCCAGAAAAUAACCAAAAAACCUAUUUACGUGGGAAUUUUCCUCUGAGUUGCACCCCAGCACUUCCUGGGCCUGAUCUCCCAUGUUCUGUAAAUCAAGACCCUGGCUACCCUCGAACGUGGGGAACCCAGGCUGUGUCUGCGGGAGCUUUGUCAGCCUGCCAGAGGAGCGAGGUGAGCUUGGAGCUGCACUCUGCAAAGACCACGUCUUAAAUGAAAAGCUUCAGGGACCAACAGAGAAACGCGGGCAGCCAUGGACCCCAGUUCCUGGACAGCAGCGGCAGCGUGGCCUGGGGACUGACUCCCUGCCCGACGGUCCACCGUUCAGCCCUGGCCAGUCAGGAUGCCUGGGGCCACAGCUCUGCAGGUGGGAAACCAGGACAGGAUCAGGGCACAGGCAGGCCCUGGGACCACUCAGGGCCCCCGAGGGCUGGUCUGGUGGACGUGCCCCCCGUGAGCCGUCUGUGGGCAGGGCAGUUAUAAACCAGGCAGGGCAAGGCUAGCUGGAAGCCCCGGGCUUAAAUAAGUGCUUAAAAAAACAAAGCCCCAAACAACCGAAGAGAUUUCCCCCACACUGAGCUGAGCACCGAAAAGAGCUUCUUCUUCCCCCCCCGGCCCCCCCAAAAAUAAAAUAAAAGGGAGAAAGAACUGGAUUCCUAAACUUGUGGACAUGGCAGCAUUCAAGAUGCCGGAUGAAAUGAAAGGGCCUCUGUUUCUCAAAGCAGCACCCACCCUCCCGUGUGCCAGCCUGGCCCUGCCUGCCGAGGAGUUUGCUGGAAGGAGCAUGGAUGGUUCUGGUGUUUUUCCCUGUGCCAC